This 520-nucleotide ribosomal RNA is filed under the name uncultured Entrophospora. RNAcentral describes it as "SSU rRNA". It matches the Rfam family "Eukaryotic small subunit ribosomal RNA", at positions 569 to 1086 of the family's 1831-position model. The record is from RNAcentral. Lineage: Eukaryota; Fungi; Glomeromycota; Glomeromycetes; Entrophosporales; Entrophosporaceae.
AGCAGCCGCGGUAAUUCCAGCUCCAAUAGCGUAUAUUAAAGUUGUUGCAGUUAAAAGCUCGUAGUUGAAUUUCGGGAUUGACACAUCGGUCGUGCCUUAAGGGGUGUGAACUGGUGUAGUCAAUUUCUCACCUUCUGGAGAACCGCGAUGUCCUUAAUUGGGUGCCGCGAGGAACCAGGACCUUUACUUUGAAAAAAUUAGAGUGUUUAAAGCAGGCAUUUUUGCUUGAAUACAUUAGCAUGGAAUAAUAAAAUAGGACGGCAUGAUUCUAUUUUGUUGGUUUCUAGGAUCACCGUAAUGAUUAAUAGGGAUAGUUGGGGCAUUAGUAUUCAAUUGUCAGAGGUGAAAUUCUUGGAUUUAUUGAAGACUAACUACUGCGAAAGCAUUUGCCAAGGAUGUUUUCAUUAAUCAAGAACGAAAGUUAGGGGAUCGAAGACGAUCAGAUACCGUCGUAGUCUUAACCAUAAACUAUGCCGACUAGGAAUCAGACGAUGUAAUUUUUUAAUGACUCGUUUGGCAC